Molecule: Y RNA, 137 nt
Filed under: Neisseria shayeganii 871
Lineage: Bacteria; Pseudomonadati; Pseudomonadota; Betaproteobacteria; Neisseriales; Neisseriaceae
Description: Y RNA-like
Rfam family: Y RNA-like
About the family: In Deinococcus radiodurans Rsr is tethered via Y RNA to the exoribonuclease PNPase and channels single-stranded RNA into the PNPase cavity. Rsr and Y RNA enhance degradation of structured RNAs by PNPase. This role could be conserved, as Rsr and ncRNAs called YrlA and YrlB (Y RNA like) also associate with PNPase in an evolutionary distant bacterium Salmonella Typhimurium.
Source: Rfam by way of RNAcentral
UGCACAAAUGCCGAAGGAAUUACAGCUUGUAGACGCUCGAGGUUGCGGGUUCGAGUCCCGUCUCUGCCGCCACACUAUGGCAGAGUAGCUCAAUCGGAUAGAGCGCGAAAUAUUUCUUCAAUCCUUGUUGUGCGGCG